RNAcentral lists this ribosomal RNA (2557 nucleotides) under Citrobacter portucalensis. Its description in RNAcentral is "partial 23S ribosomal RNA". It matches the Rfam family "Bacterial large subunit ribosomal RNA", at positions 326 to 2925 of the family's 2925-position model. Lineage: Bacteria; Pseudomonadati; Pseudomonadota; Gammaproteobacteria; Enterobacterales; Enterobacteriaceae. The record is from RNAcentral.
GUGUUAGUGGAAGCGUCUGGAAAGUCGCACGAUACAGGGUGAAAGUCCCGUACACAAAAGUGCAUGUGUUGUGAACUCGAAGAGUAGGGCGGGACACGUGGUAUCCUGUCUGAAUAUGGGGGGACCAUCCUCCAAGGCUAAAUACUCCUGACUGACCGAUAGUGAACCAGUACCGUGAGGGAAAGGCGAAAAGAACCCCGGCGAGGGGAGUGAAAAAGAACCUGAAACCGUGUACGUACAAGCAGUGGGAGCACCCUUUGGGGUGUGACUGCGUACCUUUUGUAUAAUGGGUCAGCGACUUAUAUUCUGUAGCAAGGUUAACCGAAUAGGGGAGCCGAAGGGAAACCGAGUCUUAACUGGGCGUUAAGUUGCAGGGUAUAGACCCGAAACCCGGUGAUCUAGCCAUGGGCAGGUUGAAGGUUGGGUAACACUAACUGGAGGACCGAACCGACUAAUGUUGAAAAAUUAGCGGAUGACUUGUGGCUGGGGGUGAAAGGCCAAUCAAACCGGGAGAUAGCUGGUUCUCCCCGAAAGCUAUUUAGGUAGCGCCUCGUGAACUCAUCUUCGGGGGUAGAGCACUGUUUCGGCUAGGGGGUCAUCCCGACUUACCAACCCGAUGCAAACUGCGAAUACCGAAGAAUGUUAUCACGGGAGACACACGGCGGGUGCUAACGUCCGUCGUGAAGAGGGAAACAACCCAGACCGCCAGCUAAGGUCCCAAAGUCAUGGUUAAGUGGGAAACGAUGUGGGAAGGCACAGACAGCCAGGAUGUUGGCUUAGAAGCAGCCAUCAUUUAAAGAAAGCGUAAUAGCUCACUGGUCGAGUCGGCCUGCGCGGAAGAUGUAACGGGGCUAAACCAUGCACCGAAGCUGCGGCAGCGACACUANNNNNNNNNNGUGCGAAUGCUGACAUAAGUAACGAUAAUGCGGGUGAAAAACCCGCACGCCGGAAGACCAAGGGUUCCUGUCCAACGUUAAUCGGGGCAGGGUGAGUCGACCCCUAAGGCGAGGCCGAAAGGCGUAGUCGAUGGGAAACAGGUUAAUAUUCCUGUACUUGGUGUUACUGCGAAGGGGGGACGGAGAAGGCUAUGUUAGCCGGGCGACGGUUGUCCCGGUUUAAGCAUGUAGGCGGAGGUUCCAGGUAAAUCCGGUACCUUUUAACGCUGAGGUGUGAUGACGAGGCACUACGGUGCUGAAGUAACAAAUGCCCUGCUUCCAGGAAAAGCCUCUAAGCAUCAGGUAACACGAAAUCGUACCCCAAACCGACACAGGUGGUCAGGUAGAGAAUACCAAGGCGCUUGAGAGAACUCGGGUGAAGGAACUAGGCAAAAUGGUGCCGUAACUUCGGGAGAAGGCACGCUGAUAUGUAGGUGAAGUGAUUUACUCAUGGAGCUGAAAUCAGUCGAAGAUACCAGCUGGCUGCAACUGUUUAUUAAAAACACAGCACUGUGCAAACACGAAAGUGGACGUAUACGGUGUGACGCCUGCCCGGUGCCGGAAGGUUAAUUGAUGGGGUUAUCCGUAAGGAGAAGCUCUUGAUCGAAGCCCCGGUAAACGGCGGCCGUAACUAUAACGGUCCUAAGGUAGCGAAAUUCCUUGUCGGGUAAGUUCCGACCUGCACGAAUGGCGUAAUGAUGGCCAGGCUGUCUCCACCCGAGACUCAGUGAAAUUGAACUCGCUGUGAAGAUGCAGUGUACCCGCGGCAAGACGGAAAGACCCCGUGAACCUUUACUAUAGCUUGACACUGAACACUGGUCCUUGAUGUGUAGGAUAGGUGGGAGGCUUUGAAGUGUGGACGCCAGUCUGCAUGGAGCCAUCCUUGAAAUACCACCCUUUAAUGGCUGGUGUUCUAACGUAGACCCGUAAUCCGGGUUGCGGACAGUGUCUGGUGGGUAGUUUGACUGGGGCGGUCUCCUCCUAAAGAGUAACGGAGGAGCACGAAGGUUAGCUAAUCCUGGUCGGACAUCAGGAGGUUAGUGCAAAGGCAUAAGCUAGCUUGACUGCGAGAGUGACGGCUCGAGCAGGUGCGAAAGCAGGUCUUAGUGAUCCGGUGGUUCUGAAUGGAAGGGCCAUCGCUCAACGGAUAAAAGGUACUCCGGGGAUAACAGGCUGAUACCGCCCAAGAGUUCAUAUCGACGGCGGUGUUUGGCACCUCGAUGUCGGCUCAUCACAUCCUGGGGCUGAAGUAGGUCCCAAGGGUAUGGCUGUUCGCCAUUUAAAGUGGUACGCGAGCUGGGUUUAGAACGUCGUGAGACAGUUCGGUCCCUAUCUGCCGUGGGCGCUGGAGAAUUGAGGGGGGCUGCUCCUAGUACGAGAGGACCGGAGUGGACGCAUCACUGGUGUUCGGGUUGUCAUGCCAAUGGCAUUGCCCGGUAGCUAAAUGCGGAAGAGAUAAGUGCUGAAAGCAUCUAAGCACGAAACUUGCCCCGAGAUGAGUUCUCCCUGACUCCUUGAGAGUCCUGAAGGAACGUUGAAGACGACGACGUUGAUAGGUCGGGUGUGUAAGUGUAGCGAUACAUUGAGCUAACCGAUACUAAUGAACCGUGAGGCUUAACCUU